This 484-nucleotide ribosomal RNA is filed under the name uncultured bacterium. RNAcentral describes it as "partial 16S ribosomal RNA". It matches the Rfam family "Bacterial small subunit ribosomal RNA", at positions 30 to 507 of the family's 1533-position model. The record is from RNAcentral.
AUUGAACGCUGGCGGCAGGCCUAACACAUGCAAGUCGAGCGGAUGAAGGGAGCUUGCUCCUGGAUUCAGCGGCGGACGGGUGAGUAAUGCCUAGGAAUCUGCCUGGUAGUGGGGGAUAACGUCCGGAAACGGGCGCUAAUACCGCAUACGUCCUGAGGGAGAAAGUGGGGGAUCUUCGGACCUCACGCUAUCAGAUGAGCCUAGGUCGGAUUAGCUAGUUGGUGGGGUAAAGGCCUACCAAGGCGACGAUCCGUAACUGGUCUGAGAGGAUGAUCAGUCACACUGGAACUGAGACACGGUCCAGACUCCUACGGGAGGCAGCAGUGGGGAAUAUUGGACAGUGGGCGAAAGCCUGAUCCAGCCAUGCCGCGUGUGUGAAGGAGGUCUUCGGAGUGUAAAGCACUUUAAGUUGGGAGGAAGGGCAGUAAGUUAAUACCUUGCUGUUUUGACGUUACCAACAGAAUAAGCACCGGCUAACUUCGUG